Long non-coding RNA from Nerophis lumbriciformis (worm pipefish), 964 nucleotides. RefSeq lists it as uncharacterized. NCBI's taxonomy places the organism in Eukaryota, Metazoa, Chordata, Actinopteri, Syngnathiformes, Syngnathidae. The record is from RefSeq and is a predicted model, not a curated record.
CAGGAAGCGACGGCGAAGAAGGGCAAAGGGAGGUGUACAAAGGAAUAGGACAGUGAUAUGAGUGACCAGGAAGCGACGGCGAAGAAGGGCAAAGGGAAUGGACAGUGAGAUGAGUGACCAGGUAAAUGAUAAAGUAAUUAUGCCAAUGUUUUAAUUCAAUUCAUAAAGAUCCCAGUUCUGUGUUGAAUUUGCAAUUAUAAACACUCGAUUGUAUUGUACAUAUGUCCCGGCAAGAAAUCUGCGUUCAAAGAACUCCGGCUUAUUAUUGAUACCCAGAGCCCAAAAAAAGUCUGCGGGCUAUAGAGCGUUUUCUAUUCAGGCUCCAGUACUAUGGAAUGCCCUCCCGGUAACAAUUAGAGAUGCUACCUCAGUAGAAGCAUUUAAGUCCCAUCUUAAAACUCAUUUGUAUACUCUAGCCUUUAAAUAGACCCCCCUUUUAGACCAGUUGAUCUGCCGUUUCUUUUUUCUCCUCUGCUCCCCUCUUCCUUGUGGAGGGGGGGGGGGGCACAGGUCCAGUGGCCAUGGAUGAAGUGCUGGCUGUCCAGAGUCGGGACCCGUGGUGGACCGCUUGCCUGUGCAUCGGCUGGGAACAUCUCUGCGCUGCUGACCCGUCUCCGCUCGGGAUGUGUACAAAGGAAUAGGACAGUGAUAUGAGUGACCAGGAAGCGACGGCGAAGAAGGGCAAAGGGAGGUGUACAAAGGAAUAGGACAGUGAUAUGAGUGACCAGGAAGCGACGGCGAAGAAGGGCAAAGGGAAUGGACAGUGAGAUGAGUGACCAGGAAGUGAAGAAGAAGAAAACAGGGAAAGGGAAAAGAACCAAGCAAACGCCAGUGAGACCAGUGAGCAUUGAGCAGGAAGAGAACCAACAAGAAGGGGCAGGAGUACACUGACGCGCACGACCAAGACCACAGCAUUCCAUUUCUAUUGUAUUAUAAUUAUCACUAAUAAAGAAUUAUUGUUGAA